RNAcentral lists this long non-coding RNA (4291 nucleotides) under Brassica rapa (field mustard). RNAcentral describes it as "long non-coding RNA (BRAP_LNC007987)". The record is from RNAcentral. Lineage: Eukaryota; Viridiplantae; Streptophyta; Magnoliopsida; Brassicales; Brassicaceae.
AGGCAAACGAUCUAAGCGGUCAAGAUCCGAGUUCGACCGCAGUCUCACUGAGGAUGAGUAUAUCGCUUUGUGUCUCAUGCUUCUUGCUCGCGACGGGAAUCGAACCCGCCACCUGCCUUCUUCUUCUUCCUCGCCGCCUCUGCUUCCUACUCUUACUUCUACUCAUCUCCACAAGUGCAGCGUCUGCGACAAGGCGUUUUCUUCUUACCAGGCUCUCGGUGGGCACAAGGCGAGUCACCGGAAAAACUCAUCGCAGACUCAGUCUAGCGGAGGAGAUGAGAAAUCCACGUCGUCGGCGAUAACCAUCGCGAGCCACGGCGGCGGCGGAGGAGGAAGUGUGAAAUCUCACGUUUGCUCGAUCUGCAACAAGUCUUUCGCGACAGGUCAAGCGCUCGGGGGCCACAAACGGUGCCACUACGAAGGCAAGAACGGGAGCAGCAGCGAAGGUGUGGGGUCCACAAGCCACGUCAGCAGCGGCAGCCAUCACCACCACCGUGGGUUUGACCUCAACAUCCCGCCGAUACCGGAAUUCUCGACGGUCAACGGAGAAGAAGAGGUGAUGAGCCCCAUGCCGACCAAGAAACUGAGGCUCGAGUAGAACUUAUAAAGGAGUUACAGAUUCAGCUAGCAGUUACAUGAAUUUGUUAUACUGUACAUAAUACCAAUUUUUAGAUUCCACUUCUUGUUAUUCUUCAUUGAAUCAGUAGUAUUCCUUCUUGUAAUAUUUUUGUGUAGUUUUCUUGUCUUCUUUACCUAAAGUUAUCGUUUAAAGAAAAACGACCUUGUUAAAACUAUUCAAGUACGUUUCAGUUUCUAAAGAACAUAGAUUACAACCUUAUUGGUUCGUUGGACUAGUGUCGUGGGGUGGUAAGACCUAACGUACAAAGUCUCAGCCCAUUUAACUGAUAACAUGUUAAGAGAUUCGUUUGAAGUAGAUAAUGGGUACUAAUUACGUACUGUCUGAUGUUUCUAUGCAGAACAUGACUUCAAUUUUAUUUUAUACAAUACAAAAACGAAAGAUUACCUGCAGCAUUCAAUGGUCUUAUAACAACAUCCACAUUAUUCUUUUUAGACUUUCCAUAGCUAUAUGACUAUAUCUGACACAGAGAGCAUACCUUUUUAAGGUAACAAGUGAGUUCGCAAACUGUUGUCUUUCCAACUCCCUGGAGCCCAGCCACGUGACUUAGAAAACUGUAGCUGAGAUGUUUCUCCACCCAUCAAAUUCACAAGCUUAUCAUCAUGCACAACAUGCAAUAAAAAACCAUAAUACUCCCAACACUUUCGAGACUAAAAUGAUCAUCCCAGAAUGAAGUCAACCAAUAAAUAGUAUAUUAUUUAUUCAUCGGCAGUUUUACAAAUCACUUCUUUUAUAUUAUUUAUUUGUUUGCUUCUUUAUGAAACUUUCAAUGGAUAAGGAUUCUAGAAACAUCCCUAUCAUGGUCCUGGGGUUGAUCAUUCUCCUGAACCACAGCUUCCUUGGGGAUCACAUGUGCUCCCCAUAAGAGUUUAACAUUUUGGCCAUUGAUAACAACCCAUGAAGAGUGCUCUAACAUGGCCUUCUCCGCCCCUUCUCGGGUCGUGUAUGUGAGAAACGCACCGUCAACACCUCUCAUUGCAAAAUAGACGAUAGAUUUGAUUUCUCCAUAAGGGUUGAAACGGUCACGUAUGUGCUGCUCGUGGACACUAGAGUUGAGGCGACGGAGGUAGAGCGUUUUAAGUGUUUGAUCCAAGGGUGGAUCAACAGGGCCCAUGUAAACAUUUCUAGCCAGUAACUCGACGGUUUUUGGAUUGUCUAAACUGCCAACAACCAGAAAUUCACAUAAUAAAAGUGUUUGAGAAAGGCAACAAAGAGAGUGAGAGAUAGAGGUUACCCAGUUCUACUAUCAAAAACUCUGGGAACUUUAUGUGCGAAUGGACAUGUGGCACCAGCCAUACACGUACGACCCGAUUUAAAGAAACCGCAAACUAAUGGAUGGCCAUCAAAACGUCCAAGUUGGCUCUACAUAGAUCAGAUACAAAAAAAAAACAUGAAAAUCAUACAGACUAUUCGAAGCAGCCAUUAUAUGUUAGAAAAAUUCGUAUCCAAACACAAAAGUUCCUCACAAAUUUCCAAACCCUAAACAUAGACUAUUAACACAGAAAACAUCAACAACGAGAAGAGGUGAUAUCCACGAAAAUUCAUUGCCUUUGGACGACGAUCUAUAGGGUUUCUCUGAUCCAUUCUCUUCUACUCCAAUGGCGAUAAACGCGGCUACUUCUCUUUGGAUGAACAGAGGCAAGGGCUAUAUUUAUGCCGGACGUUUCGUUUUAUAAAGAGAAAAAGAUGAAUAUGGUAGGAAAAAAUGAGUUAAAACAAACUUACGGGCCUGUUUGGUGGGCUAGUAUGAUCUAACCUACACGUUUCCCCCAUUUAGUUGAUCAUUAUAAUUGUAUACAUUAUUAUUAUCAAACAAAAGCACCCUUGUUUUUUUUGAACAAAACACCAUCGUUUUUCACGAGCCAUUCAUUCGACAACAUGACAAAUAUAUUGACCUACCUUAUAAUUUGAGAUCUGUCCAAGUGCAUACAUUAUUAUGUAUAUACGUCCAUAUGGUAAAAUUGGGCUCAAUUCCUUGGCAAAAAAAAAAUGGGCUCAAUUAAGAUUAUUGGUUGGUUUGGUUUAUCCUUUUUUGUUGACCAUCAUGUUGUCCCAAAUCAGCUCUUGAUGUGCUCUUCAUUGAUCAGUAUUCUUUCUUGUAUAGGGUAUUUUUCUUGUUUUCUUUAAUUUGUAUUUAACCUAAAGUUGUGCUUCAAGAAAAAAUCCUUCCAAUGUUUCAACACCAAGAUACAUAGAAAAAGAAGAUCUCAACACAAUGGUUAGACAGUGUAAUUAUUAUUGGAAAGCUAUACUUUUAUGUCAUUUUUUUGUCAAUUUCUAUAUGUUUACGUGUUUAGCUUUUGUAAGAAUGUGUUUUUUUUGCAUCAAGGCAGAAACCUUGUCAUAAUAUCUUACUACUUGAUAAGUUUGGUGUUUUUUUGUUUUUUCUUUUGAACUUUAAUCUGUUUUGUUUGAUGUUUGGACGUCGAUGCCAACUAUCUAAAUUUUCUCUUCACUAUUUUUCUUACAUCAAAUUUUCUUUUUACUUGAAUAAAUAUUUCUAAUCGUACUAAUAUUUCUACAAAAGCACACGAUGUUAAAAGAUGGUCUCUUAAAAACAAUCCAAAUUAUAAGAUGUAUUUAAACUCCUUUUACAAAAAAAAAAAUGUAUUUAAACUCCAACAUUUAAAAUGUCACAUUACCAAACAAAAGCACCAUCGGUUUUCACGAGCCUCCCACGAUGUGAUAAAUAUGACCCACCAUCAUCCAAUUAUAUGCGUCCAAAGUGCAUACGUUAGUAUGUAUAUUGAUAUACUAAUGGAUCUCUUAAUUAUUUUUGCAUAAGAGCAUCAUUAUCCUAGAGACCCAUAAUGGAUCUCUUAAUUAUUUUUUUAUAGUAUUUAAGGAAUAAAUUUGGUCAAGAGACUUUGUUAAGAAUUUUCAAUUUUUAUGUCCUCCAUUGCAAGUCUUGUAUUUUAGGAUUCUUAAAAAAAAAUUUGGUUAAAAGAGCUUUCAUCACACUUUCAUUACAUUCGUCUUGUGAAAACCAUCUUUUCCUAAAACUGAGUUCAAAAGAACAUUUCAAAUCUUGAUGCAAGUUUCUAAAGAUGGACACAAAACCAAAUCAAAAGAAGCUCUUAAACCAAUCCAAAACUGGAGCAAACCAAACAAAAAAAACGGACUGUAAAAGUCUAGCGGAGGAGAUGAGAAAUCCACGUCGUCCGCGAUAACCAUCGCUAGCCGCGGCGGCGGCGGAGGAGGAAGUGUGAAACCGCACGUUUGCUCGAUCUGCAACAAGUCUUUCGCGACAGGUCAAGCGCUCGGGGGCCACAAACGGUGCCACUACGAAGGCAAGAACGGGAGCAGCAGCGAAGUUGUGGGGUCCGCAAGCCACGUCAGCAGCGGCAGCCAUCACCACCACCGUGGGUUUGACCUCAACAUCCCGCCGAUACCGGAAUUCUCGACGGUCAACGGAGAAGAAGAGGUGAUGAGCCCCAUGCCGACCAAGAAACUGAGGCUCGAGUAGAACUUAUAAAGGAGUUACAGAUUCAGCUAGCAGUUACAUGAAUUUGUUAUACUGUACAUAAUACCAAUUUUUAGAUUUCAUUUCUUGUUAUUCUUCAUUGAAUCAGUAUUCCUUCUUGUAAUAUUUGUGUAGUUUUCUUAUCUUCUUUACCUAAAGUUGUCGUUUAAAGAAAAAGACCCUGCUAAAAC